RNAcentral lists this ribosomal RNA (497 nucleotides) under uncultured bacterium. RNAcentral describes it as "partial 16S ribosomal RNA". It matches the Rfam family "Bacterial small subunit ribosomal RNA", at positions 28 to 507 of the family's 1533-position model. The record is from RNAcentral.
GAUGAACGCUGGCGGCGUGCCUAAUACAUGCAAGUCGAGCGAACAGACGAGGAGCUUGCUCCUCUGACGUUAGCGGCGCACGGGUGAGUAACACGUGGAUAACCUACCUAUAAGACUGGGAUCACUUCGGGAAACCGGAGCUAAUACCGGAUAAUAUAUUGAACCGCAUGGUUCGAUAGUGAGAUACGGUUUUGGUGGCUCUUCUAGAUGGUUACGAGCCGCAUUAGCUAGUUGGUAAGGUAACAGGCUACCAAGGCGACCAUGCGUAAGCGACCGGAGGGGGUGAUCGGCCACACUGGAGCUGAGACACGGUCCAGGGGCCUACGGGAGGCAGCAGUAGGGAAUCUGACGCAAUGGGCGAAAGCCUGACGGAGCAACGCCGCGUGAGUGAUGAAGGUCUUCGGAUCGUAAAACUCUGUUAUUAGGGAAGAACAAAUGUGUAAGUAACUAUGCACGGCUUGACGGUACCGGAUCAGAAAGCAACGGCUAACUACGUG